Molecule: non-coding RNA, 86 nt
Filed under: unclassified sequences
Description: c-di-GMP sequence
Rfam family: c-di-GMP-II-GAG riboswitch aptamer
Source: Rfam by way of RNAcentral
ACUCACGCGGGAGGCGAUGACGCGCGGUCCACAUCCCGGCCGCCCCGGACCGCGCCGAGCCACUGGCGAGACCGCCCCGCGCCCGA